GGGGAACAGACACAGAAUAGAGAGAGAGAGAGAGAGAGAGAGAGAGCGAUGUCACUGAAAUAUUUUCUGUUAGUUCUGCUGAUUUUCUGUCUGCUGUCAGAUUGCGACGGCAGAAAAAUGAAAGGAAACAAAACCAAAAAAAAGAAAACUUCUUUCAUCAAAACAGCCAAAACUAUUCAGGAGCAACUUGAUCCUGCUGGAAUAAUAAACCCCUCCAGAAAGACCUCCAGAGCCACAGACCUGGCAAAACUAACAGAGGAGAGCAUUGUGAAUGAACAUGUGCGA
Molecule: long non-coding RNA, 285 nt
Organism: Tachysurus vachellii
Lineage: Eukaryota; Metazoa; Chordata; Actinopteri; Siluriformes; Bagridae
Exons: 4
Source: RefSeq, a predicted model, not a curated record